This 206-nucleotide ribosomal RNA is filed under the name uncultured bacterium. Its description in RNAcentral is "partial 16S ribosomal RNA". It matches the Rfam family "Bacterial small subunit ribosomal RNA", at positions 568 to 774 of the family's 1533-position model. The record is from RNAcentral.
UGCGUAGGCGGGUCUUUAAGUCAGGGGUGAAAUCCUGGAGCUCAACUCCAGAACUGUCUUUGAUACUGAGGAUCUUGAGUUCGGGAGAGGUGAGUGGAACUGCGAGUGUAGAGGUGAAAUUCGUAGAUAUUCGCAAGAACACCAGUGGCGAAGGCGGCUCACUGGCCCGAUACUGACGCUGAGGCACGAAAGCUGGGGAGCAAACA